GGGUGUGGCUCAGUUGGUAGAGUGCUUGCUUAGCAAGCAUGAAGUCCUGGGUUCAAACCCCAGCCCCA
Non-coding RNA from Arvicanthis niloticus (Nile rat), 68 nucleotides. The record is from the annotation of a RefSeq genome assembly. NCBI's taxonomy places the organism in Eukaryota, Metazoa, Chordata, Mammalia, Rodentia, Muridae.